Molecule: ribosomal RNA, 241 nt
Filed under: uncultured bacterium
Lineage: Bacteria
Description: partial 16S ribosomal RNA
Rfam family: Bacterial small subunit ribosomal RNA
Source: RNAcentral
GAUCAUGGCUCCGGAUGAACGCUAGCUACAGGCUUAACACAUGCAAGUCGAGGGGCAGCAUGGACUUAGCUUGCUAAGUUUGAUGGCGACCGGCGCACGGGUGAGUAACACGUAUCCAACCUGCCGAUGACUCGGGGAUAGCCUUUCGAAAGAAAGAUUAAUACCCGAUGGCAUAGUUCUUCCGCAUGGUAGAACUAUUAAAGAAUUUCGGUCAUCGAUGGGGAUGCGUUCCAUUAGGUUG